Long non-coding RNA from Beta vulgaris subsp. vulgaris (sugar beet), 1152 nucleotides. RefSeq lists it as uncharacterized. The record is from RefSeq and is a predicted model, not a curated record. Lineage: Eukaryota; Viridiplantae; Streptophyta; Magnoliopsida; Caryophyllales; Amaranthaceae. The transcript is spliced from 3 exons.
UUCACUUGGAACAUAAAAUUUGCAAAAGCAACUACUGGUAGUGAGGUGCUAUCAGUCGAGAUAUGACAGUCAUGCAGUAUAGGAGCCCAUGCACAGGGGGUUUCAUGAUUAUGUAUAUUGAGGUAAAAUUAAAAUGGGUAUCAUCCUAGAUAAAGGGGAUCAUAGGGUAAAAAGGAUGAUUGGAUUCUAUGUGGGGUUUCAUUUUUUUCCGAUAUUAGCCAUUAGGGGUGGUAGAAAAGUUUGAUUGAUGGAUAGAUUCUCAGGAGUCAAGUGAAAUUAGCAGCAUAACAAUUCUGAGGAAUAAUCCAAUGAAUGAUUUUUUAAAGUCUGAUAGAAUUCUAGCAUGCCAUAUUGAUUACAUUGAUGAAGAAGAUUAAAGACUAGAGAUUCUAGCUUAUGAUGUAAUCUACAAUUCUAAGACAUGAAUAAUAUGAAUUUCGAACUUCUGUAUAGUUACAAUUAGCUAAGAAGUAAAUUACAGCUUCAUAUUAGAGCUAGCUCCUACUAAAGAGCUUAAGUACAGAGAAGUGUUUUUUAUCUGUACAGCUUCAAUGACUGCUAUUAUAGGGGUGUUGUUCAUUCAUUUAUCCCUUGCAGCCAAAGGUUACUCUUCCAUUGUUGUUCAGGCCAUUCAAGGCCUUCUCUUAUUGGUGAAUGAGGAUCCUCUCACUGUCAAAGUUGAUCAUCUGAAGGCAAGGCAUUGAAUGUUUUCUUUUUCGCAAUUUUUUCUUUAAACUGUUUUCUUGUAAGUUGUAAUUGCUUGUUUGGAUUAAUGCCGAGCUGAUCGAGGCCACUCUUCUUGUUGUAGGAUUUAACAUAUGACAAAGACGAUGAUGUCAUAAAAGCAACCUCAUUUGAGGUUAUAUCUACUGUAAGGGAUGUAUUGCAAAGUUCACUCUGGAGGGAUCAUGUUCAAACAUAUACAAAGGGUUAUGAGAUUUGCGUUUGAGUUCCAGAUUUGAAGUUGGUUUCGAUCCAGACACCAUAUUUGAAGUCCGUUUUGGUUCCAGAUUUUUGUCGUGGAGUUUAAAGUGUACAUGUAAUUAUAUGAGAUUUGUAUUAGAUUUUGUUCUAAGUAUACUAGAAUUUAGUUCUAGAAUUAUUUUUUCACUUGUAAGUACAUUAAUUAUCAAUAAUAAUUGAAUUGAUUAA